GGCCUUUCGGGGUACACGAGCGGCGAACGGGUGAGUAACACGUGGGUGAUCUGCCCUGCACUUCGGGAUAAGCCUGGGAAACUGGGUCUAAUACCGGAUAUGACCUCCUGUUGCAUGACGUGGGGUGGAAAGAUUUAUCGGUGCAGGAUGGGCCCGCGGCCUAUCAGCUUGUUGGUGGGGUAAUGGCCUACCAAGGCGACGACGGGUAGCCGACCUGAGAGGGUGACCGGCCACACUGGGACUGAGACACGGCCCAGACUCCUACGGGAGGCAGCAGUGGGGAAUAUUGCACAAUGGGCGAAAGCCUGAUGCAGCGACGCCGCGUGAGGGAUGACGGCCUUCGGGUUGUAAACCUCUUUCAGCAGGGACGAAGCGCAAGUGACGGUACCUGCAGAAGAAGCACCGGCUAACUACGUGCCAGCAGCCGCGGUAAUACGUAGGGUGCAAGCGUUGUCCGGAAUUACUGGGCGUAAAGAGUUCGUAGGCGGUUUGUCGCGUCGUUUGUGAAAACCAGCAGCUCAACUGCUGGCUUGCAGGCGAUACGGGCAGACUUGAGUACUGCAGGGGAGACUGGAAUUCCUGGUGUAGCGGUGAAAUGCGCAGAUAUCAGGAGGAACACCGGUGGCGAAGGCGGGUCUCUGGGCAGUAACUGACGCUGA
RNAcentral lists this ribosomal RNA (659 nucleotides) under Rhodococcus erythropolis. RNAcentral describes it as "bacterial SSU rRNA". It matches the Rfam family "Bacterial small subunit ribosomal RNA", at positions 74 to 749 of the family's 1533-position model. The record is from RNAcentral. Lineage: Bacteria; Bacillati; Actinomycetota; Actinomycetes; Mycobacteriales; Nocardiaceae.